UUGACACGAAGCUACCACCAACAAUGCUCCUACGCUCUUUUGAAGCACUGAUCCCACAACUAAAUAUUAGAAAAUGGACCACUGCAGGCUUAACACAUUUACACCAACUCAUGGAUAAUGAUAAAUACAUAGCCUUUACUUCACUACAAAAAGAGUUCCAACUACCACCUGCAGCGGAGUUCGCACAUAGACAGAUAAUAUCGUGGAUAGGAAGAAAUAGAGGGUCACCAUACACCGCAGAAACAAAGAGAAAUAUGGAGGCAUUACGACAACUGUGCACUAACU
Non-coding RNA from Pelobates cultripes (western spadefoot toad), 285 nucleotides. Lineage: Eukaryota; Metazoa; Chordata; Amphibia; Anura; Pelobatidae. The record is from the annotation of a GenBank genome assembly.